ACGCGUGGAACCUUACCAGGUCUUGACAUCCCAUUGACCGCUAUGGAGACAUAGCUUUCCCUUCGGGGACAGUGGUGACAGGUGGUGCAUGGUUGUCGUCAGCUCGUGUCGUGAGAUGUUGGGUUAAGUCCCGCAACGAGCGCAACCCUUGUUCUUAGUUGCCAUCAUUUAGUUGGGCACUCUAAGGAGACUGCCGGUGACAAACCGGAGGAAGGUGGGGAUGACGUCAAAUCAUCAUGCCCCUUAUGACCUGGGCUACACACGUGCUACAAUGGACGGUACAAACGGUUGCCAACCCGCGAGGGGGAGCUAAUCCGAUAAAACCGUUCUCAGUUCGGAUUGUAGGCUGCAACUCGCCUACAUGAAGCCGGAAUCGCUAGUAAUCGCGGAUCAGCAUGCCGCGGUGAAUACGUUCCCGGGCCUUGCACACACUGCCCGU
This 439-nucleotide ribosomal RNA is filed under the name uncultured bacterium. RNAcentral's name for it is "bacterial SSU rRNA". It matches the Rfam family "Bacterial small subunit ribosomal RNA", at positions 959 to 1397 of the family's 1533-position model. The record is from RNAcentral.